This 490-nucleotide ribosomal RNA is filed under the name uncultured bacterium. Its description in RNAcentral is "bacterial SSU rRNA". It matches the Rfam family "Bacterial small subunit ribosomal RNA", at positions 24 to 507 of the family's 1533-position model. The record is from RNAcentral.
UCAGGACGAACGCUGGCGGCGUGCUUAANACAUGCAAGUCGAACGAGAAGAGAUGAGAAGCUUGCUUCUUAUCAAUUCGAGUGGCAAACGGGUGAGUAACGCGUAAGCAACCUGCCCUUCAGAUGGGGACAACAGCUGGAAACGGCUGCUAAUACCGAAUACGUUCUUUUUGUCGCAUGGCAGAGGGAAGAAAGGGAGGCUCUUCGGAGCUUUCGCUGAAGGAGGGGCUUGCGUCUGAUUAGCUAGUUGGAGGGGUAACGGCCCACCAAGGCGACGAUCAGUAGCCGGUCUGAGAGGUUGAACGGCCACAUUGGGACUGAGAUACGGCCCAGACUCCUACGGGAGGCAGCAGUCGGGAAUAUUGCGCAAUGGAGGAAACCCUGAUGCAGCAACGCCGCGUGAGUGAUGACGGUCUUCGGAUUGUAAAGCUCUGUCUUUGGGGACGAAGAAAGUGACGGUACCCAAGGAGGAAGCCACGGCUAACUACGUG